GAAUGGAGUUCUGACACUUGCCACAACUUGGAGGAACCUUGAGGACAUGUUAAGUAAAAUAAGCCAGGCACCAAAAAACAAAUAUGAUAUGAUUCUACUGGUAUGAGGCAGAGUCAGCAAGGUCCAAGAAGGCUGAGAGGUCAAAGGUCAAGUAAAAGAGAACGGAAGUGAGCACAAGAUACGGUGGCAUGCAGGGACGAGGUUUCGCCAUCUUGCCCAGCCUGGUCUCAAACUCCUGAGCUCGAGCCAUCUGCCCGCCUCGGCCUCCCAAAGUGCUGGGAUUACAGGUUUGAGCCACCGCGGCCUUAAUCUUUUCUUCACAGCAGACUUCUUCCUCUAGAGUUUGAGGAGUUAUGAUAAGGCAAAUACCCUUAUAACCACCACCCAAAUCAAGAAAUAGAACUGUGCCGGCCACCUCAGAAACCCCAC
Molecule: long non-coding RNA, 429 nt
Organism: Pan troglodytes (chimpanzee)
Lineage: Eukaryota; Metazoa; Chordata; Mammalia; Primates; Hominidae
Exons: 3
Source: RefSeq, a predicted model, not a curated record